This 275-nucleotide long non-coding RNA is filed under the name Salvia miltiorrhiza (redroot sage). RNAcentral describes it as "long non-coding RNA (SMIL_LNC003899)". Lineage: Eukaryota; Viridiplantae; Streptophyta; Magnoliopsida; Lamiales; Lamiaceae. The record is from RNAcentral.
UAAGCAUUAGAUAUUUCUUUGAAGAGUAAUUGGCAUAUAGUUAUAGACUUGACUAAAUCAUAAUCAGUAUUUGCAGCGGAAGGCAAGACUGAGAUACAUGUAUGCAGACACAUAUCAUUUCUGAGCCUAUUCUAAGUUCGACAAAAGCUCCACUCAGCAACACUUCAUCGUUCAUCACAGCUCAACCUGCACAUUCAUAAACAUAUGCAGGGCUAAGUACAAAAGUACUUAGUGGGCAGUUGCCAAAAACUAAAUUGUAAGCUUAACAUUUUAUC